GACGAACGCUGGCGGCGUGCUUAACACAUGCAAGUCGAGCGGAAAGGCCACUUCGGUUGUACUAGAGCGGCGAACGGGUGAGUAACACGUGAGUAAUCUGCCCCUCACUUUGGGAUAACCCCGGGAAACUGGGCUUAAUACCGGAUAUGCUCACCGGCCGUGUGGUCUGGGGGUGGCAAGGCUUUCGGUGGGGGAUGGUCUCGCGGCCUAUCAGCUUGUUGGUGGGGUAAUGGCCUACCAAGGCUUCGACGGGUAGCCGGCCUGAGAGGGUGGCCGGCCACACUGGGACUGAGGCACGGCCCAGACUCCUACGGGAGGCAGCAGUGGGGAAUAGUGGACAAUGGGCGGAAGCCUGAUCCAGCAACGCCGCGUGAGGGAUGACGGCCUUCGGGUUGUAAACCUCUUUCAGCGGGGACGAAGCGCGGGUGACGGUACCCGCAGAAGAAGCACCGGCCAACUACGUGCCAGCCGCCGCAGUAA
This 480-nucleotide ribosomal RNA is filed under the name uncultured bacterium. Its description in RNAcentral is "partial 16S ribosomal RNA". It matches the Rfam family "Bacterial small subunit ribosomal RNA", at positions 28 to 523 of the family's 1533-position model. The record is from RNAcentral.